GGGAUCGACAUCUCAGGGCCUCGAGUAAAUAAGCUAACUUUACCUUUCAAAGCGCGCGCAUGAAUAACGUGUUACGUGAGUCAGAAAAGCACAUGGAUGCAUUCGUGAGGGGAAAACUCGUCGAGUGGCAGUUACCCAGUCUUAUCGAGACAUUUAACGAUGAAGAAAUUGAUGAGGAAGGUUUCAUGCUACUCGAUGACCGUACAAUCACAAGCCUCAUACCAAAAAUCGGACUUCGUGUCAAGUUCCUAAAGUACCACGAAGAGCUAAUAAAGAAACAUGGGGUUGAAAAUGCCACUCCUUCAGCUGUUCACAUAACUGACACAGAAGAAGCCACUGUUGCAGCAGGAGAUAUUGCAGAAGAGCUGACAAUUACACCAAUGCCAUUCAUUCAAAUAAUACCAAUUUUUGUAAUUUCUUCAUUCACUAUUCAUGCCAGAUUUUCUGCUUUUAAAAUUAAACAGGGUCUUUGAAAUAGAAAAGUCAAACUCAAAAAUCUAGUUUUUAUAUGCUUCUCUUCUUAUUUUUUGCAGAAUAUUAAAGAGAUUCUCAUGGCCUCCCAUGAGGGGAGAUGGAUUUCAGCAGCUUUAGAGAAGGAAAAAAGCAUCACAAUUAAACAGAGACGUGCACUGGUGCGAAUCCUGGUGGCCUUUUUAAUUGAAAAGUUUGGCGAAAUGCCAACUUCUGACACCAAGAAGGCUAUGGCAAUGGCGUUAAUUGAAGAGUUUCCCUGCCUUAAAGACAUCAGAGGCAAUGGCUAUGAGGCAUUUUACACACCAGGCCGGAACCACCGUCCAGCCACAGGCUUCAUUGAGGAGCGCUUACGAAACAUCAGAAAGAGAAUGAGAAAACUUUCCAGACCUCAAAGACAUGAAGAGGACACAUCACAUAGGAUGGUAAUCCCUGAACCUACUAUUCCAACGGAGAGAGCCCAAAGUCUUGUGAACUGGCUGAAAAAUAACCAUGCACCUAUUAACCAAGUGGUAGAAAAUAUGAAGGAGACAGCCUUAUAUCGGGCUAAGUGGAUCCGACAGAAUGGGACAAAGAGCAUCACAGAGGUUCUCCAUGAGUUCCCGCAUCUCUUGAACACACCUGGCAUGAUUUCCCAAGACUUUGAUCAGGUCCAUGGAGAAACUGGACUGAAGCUUUUUGAAUCGUGGGCCAAUUUCUUUGCUG
Molecule: long non-coding RNA, 1176 nt
Organism: Cyprinus carpio carpio
Lineage: Eukaryota; Metazoa; Chordata; Actinopteri; Cypriniformes; Cyprinidae
Source: Ensembl